This 745-nucleotide ribosomal RNA is filed under the name Acinetobacter sp. SF3. Its description in RNAcentral is "bacterial SSU rRNA". It matches the Rfam family "Bacterial small subunit ribosomal RNA", at positions 124 to 863 of the family's 1533-position model. Lineage: Bacteria; Pseudomonadati; Pseudomonadota; Gammaproteobacteria; Moraxellales; Moraxellaceae. The record is from RNAcentral.
AUCUGGCUAUUAGUGGGGGACAACAUUCCUAAAGGGAUGCUAAUACCGCAUACGUCCUACGGGAGAAAGCAGGGGAUCUUCGGACCUUGCGCUAAUAGAUGAGCCUAAGUCGGAUUAGCUAGUUGGUGGGGUAAAGGCCUACCAAGGCGACGAUCUGUAGCGGGUCUGAGAGGAUGAUCCGCCACACUGGGACUGAGACACGGCCCAGACUCCUACGGGAGGCAGCAGUGGGGAAUAUUGGACAAUGGGGGGAACCCUGAUCCAGCCAUGCCGCGUGUGUGAAGAAGGCCUUAUGGUUGUAAAGCACUUUAAGCGAGGAGGAGGGUACUGGUAUUAAUACUACCAGGUACUGGACGUUACUCGCAGAAUAAGCACCGGCUAACUCUGUGCCAGCAGCCGCGGUAAUACAGAGGGUGCGAGCGUUAAUCGGAUUUACUGGGCGUAAAGCGUGCGUAGGCGGCUAAUUGAGUCGGAUGUGAAAUCCCCGAGCUUAACUUGGGAAUUGCAUUCGAUACUGGUUAGCUAGAGUGUGGGAGAGGAUGGUAGAAUUCCAGGUGUAGCGGUGAAAUGCGUAGAGAUCUGGAGGAAUACCGAUGGCGAAGGCAGCCAUCUGGCCUAACACUGACGCUGAGGUACGAAAGCAUGGGGAGCAAACAGGAUUAGAUACCCUGGUAGUCCAUGCCGUAAACGAUGUCUACUAGCCGUUGGUCUCUUUGAGGGAUUAGUGGCGCAGCUAACGCGAUAA